Long non-coding RNA from Herpailurus yagouaroundi (jaguarundi), 2613 nucleotides. RefSeq lists it as uncharacterized. The transcript is spliced from 4 exons. The record is from RefSeq and is a predicted model, not a curated record. NCBI's taxonomy places the organism in Eukaryota, Metazoa, Chordata, Mammalia, Carnivora, Felidae.
UGAGCCGAAGUCAGAUGCUCAACUGACUGAGCCACUCAGGUGCCCCUAAGUGUGUUAUUUUUAAUGUAAAAUGAUUAACUCCAUAUGUGUUUGUUUUCUAAUCUGUUACCAUAUAUAGACAUCUGAAUGAAAAUAAAACUUCUGUGCUUAUGAAUAUUUAUUUUAUUCUAAGACCUUUUUAAAAAUUUCCAGUGUUUGCUUAUAUUUGUAUGUUAUGUGAUAAUCAGAAACAAAAGUCAAAAAUGUUCAACUCAGUAGCCAAUAAUAAAUUAUGAACAUUUUUUGGAAGAAAAUUAACCUAUAAAUUAAGGUAUAAAUCAGUAUUUUUUUGAACAGCAGUUUGGCCAUAAUAAUUGAAAUUCAAACAUUUGAAAUGGUGUUACUUGCUGCUGGGAAUUUAUUCCACAUCUCAAAUUUAUACUGAAGUAUGUUAUACAUUGAGUAUAAAUAAUAGUUGAGCAUCUGAAAUAUACCUCAACAAAAGAUCAUAAUGGUUGUAGCUUAUUCAUCAUAUGAAUAUAAUUUAGACACUGGAACAUGGUCUGAUAAGGGUGUUUUGUGUGGAUAUUUAAAAUUAUGCCAGUUUUUGAACAAACAUCAACUAAUAGUGUGUUUACAGAGGUUUGACCAUAUGCCUUGUUCUAAUUGGAAAUGUCAAUCAUUACUGUUCCUGAGGAAUGUAAUUAUUCUGACAUGAUUAUAGAGUUAAGUAAUGCUGACUGAUCAGUGUUAUAAUGAAUAUUUUAGCAUUCUUAAAAAUUUUGUACGUGUACAUUAAGUAGUAAAAUACUGUCUUAUUAUUUGUAUAUUGCUACUUGACAAUCUGAAAUGAACAUACUAAUUGUUAGAAAGGUGUCUGGAAGAAUGGAUGGCAAAAUUUUAACAUUACUGUAUAGAGAGAUGGGAAUGGAGGACUGCUUCUACUUCCUGCAUUUUGAAUUUUAAAGGUAUUUCAAAAAGAACAUCUAAACAGCAAAAAGGGGAUUUUAAAGAUACACCCAAUUUAUGCCUGCCUUUCAUCCUUGCCUAUCAAUAUCUGGCAAGUAUUGGGCUGUUGUAUCCAAUUUUGUAUUCCCAGUGGCCAUUAUGAAUUGUUUGUGAGUGAUCAUGAAGAGCAUGUGGUUUAGAGACUCUAGUGAAGCAGAGAGUUUUACACACUGAAACAGCAUUGUGGGACUCCAGAAAUGAACACGGGAGAAGAUAGGAUUUCAGAUGAACACAAUGAAAGGAAGAGAUUUACAGAUAAUCUGAGGACAGCUGACAUUCCUAUGGUCUUUCUUAAUUCAUAAGUCUUAACUGGGAACUACAGGAGAUGAUAAUUAUAAGAAAACACACUUUUGCCAUCUUUGUUUGUAAUUGCAAGAAUCAGUACCAUAAGACCUCUGUUGGCAAUAUUACUCAUUUGAGUAUUCGUCACCUCCCAUCUUUGGCUUCGGGAAUACUGCUUGGCAAAAUGAUUGUGAUGCCCAAAUAGGAAACUGAUGUUACUGCUUCUGACACCAUCUUCAAAUCCAAAAACGGUCUUUAUAACAUAUGGCGACUCCUCCUUUCAUGUGUUGGAGUAGACACUCCUCCAGAAAAACUGGACUGAGAAAGCCCUUGUUUGAAAGUUACCUAAAGAUUAUCAUUGGAGGGAAUUGUAACCAGGCAUGUUGACUGUUUUCAUUAUUGACAUUGGACUAAAUGUCGGGAGCUUGAAUGAUGGAGAUGCUAUUACACAGAGAAGCUCAGGAUGAUAUGAUUGCAAGGCUUCAUUUCAAUGUUCCCAUAAGUAUUAAGUGCACAUAUUUAUAAUUUUCACUUUUAACAGGGUAAAUUUAAAAUAGAUGCAGAAAAAUAAAUUAUCUUUUUUCCAGAUUUGAAAGGACACAGAAAGUUGUAAAGGGUAGUAUUUUUACUUUUUAAAUGCUUUUUCCUCCCUCCUAAUUCUACUCCCCAAUAUUAUCUGCUGUUAAGGAGUUUUAUGUAUAUCCUUUUGGGGCGUAUCGAUAAACAAAUUGAUAAUGCCAGUAGUCAUUUGGGCCCAUACAUUAGCUACAAAUUUUCUCUUCAGUGAACAUGCUUAUAUGUAAUCUAUUUUUUAACUUCUCCAGCUAAGUUGUUGAAAUAGUCCUACUACUUCCACUUCAUUGGAAUUAAGUAUUAACUCAAAAUUUACGUUUUGAGUUAAAAGUAGAGAUUUCCCCAGAAUUGUGUAAAUUAUCCUCAUCAAUAUUGUCUCCCAGUGUUUGUUUAUGAGACUUCUUUUUUCUAAAACAGUACAAACAUUGGAUGUCAAUGUUUUAAUCUUUGAUAGUGUGAUACUACAAAGAAAGUAUUUUUCUUCAGUUAUUGUUCACUUCAGUCAUCUUCAUACGUCCUUAAACUGUACUAGUCAUUUGUUAUUCUGUGUUUUGUGUUAUUUUGUUUUUUGUUUUUUGUUUUUUUUCAUUUCCCUUGGAAUACUAGUGUCUUUGUUACUGGCUUUUAAAAGAUCUUUUAUGACUAACAUUUUAACCAUUUACCAUGCUUUGCAAAUGAAAUACCAUGUUUUUUCACCAUUUUACUGUGAUAUUUUACUUUUUGGUGUACAGAAGUUGUAUAUUGAAAUAUAACAAUAUUGUGUUUCAUGCC